Molecule: long non-coding RNA, 2382 nt
Organism: Pezoporus occidentalis (night parrot)
Lineage: Eukaryota; Metazoa; Chordata; Aves; Psittaciformes; Psittacidae
Exons: 5
Source: RefSeq, a predicted model, not a curated record
UGUGUUGAUCAGCAUUGAAUUAGACAGAGGCCUGGCUGUUUGCUGGGAGCUGAUCAUACUCACUGAAUACCACUGCAUCAUCUCUUCCAGAGUGCAGAAAACCAGCUGAACAAAUGGACAUGUGCAGGAGAAACAGUGAGCUGAGAGACACAGGUUCACCUCUCUGCUCAGGCUCAGACCUCCUGUGAGAUCCUGUUCAGCUGUGUUUCCCAGUGGAUUUCAGCCAGCUGCUGGGGACUGCUGCUACCUCGAGUCCUUUCAGAUGGGUCACGGGUCUGGCUAAAGAAAGUUGAAACAAAGCAAACAAAACGUAGAUGACCUUUCUGCCUACCUGACUCCACCUGCUUCAAUAACACAUUGUGCCGUCAACUAAUUCCACCUAAAUUUGGAACCGCAUACUUAAAGACAUCAUGGAACUGAAGAGUCAGGGGAGAGACUUUAUCAGGAGUCUUGUUGGCCUCGCUGCAAGCUCAACCCUAAACCAGACCUCAAAGAUUUUCAUCCUGGAGACAACGCCACAGGAUCCAAUCUCCCCUCGCAGAGCCCCUCAGUGCCUUCCUGGGUCCAUCUGGAUUUGUCCAUGGGUGUUUCCUGUAAACCCCAUUACUUUCUCAGUGUGAAAAACAUGUCUAGACCAAACAGCCGCUUCAGAUUUAAUGUGUGAGUGAUGACUUGAAUAAGAACCCAGCCACAGCAGCACAGUGUCAGCCAGCACCAGGAAGCCUUUGGAAGAGAGGCCCAGCCCUGGUCUGCUAGUGAGUAAGAGAAAGGGUUCUGCACACUAUGACCAGGUAGCCCUUUCCCACCUAAUGAGCCCUGUGGAAGGGUCCUGUAGCCUCAUCUAUCAUUUAAAAAGUCAUUCUGUUCUGCAGAGCAGGCAGCAGCUCCCAUGUGGGCUAUACCUCAGCAGUUGUAACUCACCCCAGUUUAUAAAUAAGAUGUUUUCCCUUGACUGCCAGGUCGCAGUGACAUCUACCAGGCAAGCUGCGAUCUCUAUGGCCUGUGAAUCAUCGCUGAUAACGGUGAUCCCGCUGUCUGACUCCUGCCUUUACCAGCUGUACAGCACCAGAGUUUGAGGAUGCACCCAGAGAGAGCUCCCUGGCACUACAGUAAGGGAAAUUGUCUCUUCCUUCUGGAGGACAGCCCAGACAGAGACUACCUGUGAGGGAUGCUUUUAUGGACAGAAGGAUAGUACAGGUUACCUUCACUGUCCCUGGAAGAACUGUUCACAGCCUGGCCUGUGUGCAAUAGUCUCCAGCAAAACGGGGGAAAUUUUGGCUGUUCUUUGGGUCUCAGUAUCUCCGGCUCCUCCAUCUGGAACAUCAGCAUCUUGGCCUCCAUCCCUGGGAUGUUUCCCUGCUCAGUUCAGACUCAGCUGCCAGCAGAAGCACAGAGACACAAAGCAGCAGUGGCACCGACACAUGGGAAGUCUAAUGAACAUAGCACUGACCAGCUCUUUGGCAGAGGAUGGAGAUGUCCUCUUCCAAGCUGUCCUAGUUGCCAGGGGUUUGCCCUCUCAUUGCCUCUUUUGGACACUCUGCAGGAGCAGUAGCAUCACAGUGAAGUCAAGCUACCAAUUUAAACUUGAAGCUAUUUUCUCUAACAUUGUCUGAAGAAGGGGCUUCAACAGCAGCCGUCCUCGACACAGCUAGCUGCAGAAGGUAACUGUUGUCCAUAGCAUAAGUUGUGUACUUGCAUCAUCCCUUACUCCCAUCCCUUCUGUGGUUGCUCCAGCAGACUGUUAACAACAGCUCAAUAUGCAGUAGCAUAAACCACAUCAGGACACAGUUUGCUCUAUGUGGAGCUACAAAUGUAGCUUGGUUCCAGCUAAUGCCCUUAUAUGACCUGAUCUUUAUAAAACCUCAUCGUAAACAUGCACCACUUGUUCAAAACCUCACAUAAACAGAAAAUCCAGAGUUCAAAAGUUGUAACUUUGGUGAGGCAGGGGAGGGGAAAAACAGCUGUGAGUUUUUAGGUGAAAAUCCAGGAGCAUUUGACUGUGGUUUUGCAGAUGUGAUUUCUAUGCUGCGUUCUGUUUGGAGGGUGCAGUUCAGCAUCUGCCACCAUCCUCCUUCAAGCCCCUAAGUAUGGCUCAUGGAAAUGAGAUUGAAGGAUAUUAAAAAUUCCUAGAGGAGCUAAGGAGAGAUAAUCAGGAUUAGUGUGCUGACAAUGGGGGAAGAGGCUGAAAGCGUGAGGGGGUGGCUAUGGCCAGGGUUGCCAAAAUGUGUGUCAUUGCAUUUCCAGAGUUGUCAUUAAGGCAAAUCCAGUCUUCUGGCUGAAGAUGUGAACUGUUUUAAUAAUAAAGUCAUUGGGAUUACAAUCAGAAGCUAAGAAAACAAGGGCAUUUGCUCAGGCCUAUAUGUAAUAAUGCUCUGGGUAGUU